This 253-nucleotide ribosomal RNA is filed under the name uncultured bacterium. RNAcentral describes it as "partial 16S ribosomal RNA". It matches the Rfam family "Bacterial small subunit ribosomal RNA", at positions 524 to 776 of the family's 1533-position model. The record is from RNAcentral.
UACGUAGGUGGCAAGCGUUGUCCGGAAUUACUGGGUGUAAAGGGAGCGCAGGCGGGAAGCCAAGUCAGCUGUGAAAACUACGGGCCUAACUUGUAGACUGCAGUUGAAACUGGUUUUCUUGAGUGAAGUAGAGGUUGGCGGAAUUCCGAGUGUAGCGGUGAAAUGCGUAGAUAUUCGGAGGAACACCGGUGGCGAAGGCGGCCAACUGGGCUUUAACUGACGCUGAGGCUCGAAAGUGUGGGGAGCAAACAGG